AACGAACGCUGGCGGCAGGCCUAACACAUGCAAGUCGAGCGAGGACUUCGGUCCUAGCGGCGGACGGGUGAGUAACGCGUGGGAACGUGCCCUUUGCUUCGGAAUAGCCCUGGGAAACUGGGAGUAAUACCGGAUGAGCCCUUUGGGGGAAAGAUUUAUCGGCGAAGGAUCGGCCCGCGUUGGAUUAGGUAGUUGGUGGGGUAAUGGCCUACCAAGCCGACGAUCCAUAGCUGGUUUGAGAGGAUGAUCAGCCACACUGGGACUGAGACACGGCCCAGACUCCUACGGGAGGCAGCAGUGGGGAAUCUUAGACAAUGGGGGAAACCCUGAUCUAGCCAUGCCACGUGAGCGAUGAAGGCCUUAGGGUUGUAAAGCUCUUUCAGCUGGGAAGAUAAUGACGGUACCAGCAGAAGAAGCCCCGGCUAACUCCGUG
Molecule: ribosomal RNA, 433 nt
Filed under: uncultured bacterium
Lineage: Bacteria
Description: partial 16S ribosomal RNA
Rfam family: Bacterial small subunit ribosomal RNA
Source: RNAcentral